RNAcentral lists this ribosomal RNA (432 nucleotides) under uncultured bacterium. RNAcentral describes it as "partial 16S ribosomal RNA". It matches the Rfam family "Bacterial small subunit ribosomal RNA", at positions 29 to 506 of the family's 1533-position model. The record is from RNAcentral.
AACGAACGCUGGCGGCAUGCCUAACACAUGCCAGUCGAACGAGACCUUCGGGUCUAGUGGCGCACGGGUGCGUAACGCGUGGGAACCUGCCCUUAGGUUCGGAAUAACUCCCCGAAAGGGGUGCUAAUACCGGAUAAUGUCUUCGGACCAAAGAUUUAUCGCCUUUGGAUGGGCCCGCGUUGGAUUAGCUAGUUGGUAGGGUAAAAGCCUACCAAGGCGACGAUCCAUAGCUGGUCUGAGAGGAUGAUCAGCCACACUGGGACUGAGACACGGCCCAGACUCCUACGGGAGGCAGCAGUGGGGAAUAUGGGACAAUGGGCGAAAGCCUGAUCCAGCAAUGCCGCGUGAGUGAUGAAGGCCUUAGGGUUGUAAAGCUCUUUUACCCGGGAUGAUAAUGACAGUACCGGGAGAAUAAGCUCCGGCUAACUCCGU